AUUGAACGCUGGCGGCAGGCCUAACACAUGCAAGUCGAGCGGAUGAAGGGAGCUUGCUCCUGGAUUCAGCGGCGGACGGGUGAGUAAUGCCUAGGAAUCUGCCUGGUAGUGGGGGAUAACGUCCGGAAACGGGCGCUAAUACCGCAUACGUCCUGAGGGAGAAAGUGGGGGAUCUUCGGACCUCACGCUAUCAGAUGAGCCUAGGUCGGAUUAGCUAGUUGGUGGGGUAAAGGCCUACCAAGGCGACGAUCCGUAACUGGUCUGAGAGGAUGAUCAGUCACACUGGAACUGAGACACGGUCCAGACUCCUACGGGAGGCAGCAGUGGGGAAUAUUGGACAAUGGGCGAAAGCCUGAUCCAGCCAUGCCGCGUGUGUGAAGAAGGUCUUCAGAUUGUAAAGCACUUUAAGUUGGGAGGAAGGGCAGUAAGUUAAUACCUUGCUGUUUUGACGUUACCAACAGAAUAAGCACCGGCUAACUUCGU
RNAcentral lists this ribosomal RNA (483 nucleotides) under uncultured bacterium. RNAcentral's name for it is "partial 16S ribosomal RNA". It matches the Rfam family "Bacterial small subunit ribosomal RNA", at positions 30 to 506 of the family's 1533-position model. The record is from RNAcentral.